This is an unclassified non-coding RNA of Cavia porcellus (domestic guinea pig), 305 nucleotides long. Its record names the gene 7SK. It matches the Rfam family "7SK RNA". From Rfam's summary of the family: 7SK was discovered as an abundant small nuclear RNA in the mid-70s but a possible function has only recently been suggested. Two independent studies have found that 7SK RNA binds the CDK9/cyclin T complex (known as elongation factor P-TEFb). The record is from Ensembl. NCBI's taxonomy places the organism in Eukaryota, Metazoa, Chordata, Mammalia, Rodentia, Caviidae.
GGAUAUGAGGGCCAUCUGGCUGUGAUAUCUUGUCACCCCAUUGAUCGCCAGGGUUGAUUUGGUUGAUCUGGCUGGCUAGGCAGGUGUCCCCUUCCUCCCUCAGUGAUCUAUGUGCAUCCCUCCUGAAGCUGUGUGCUCGGUUGAAGAGAAUGACCACCUUUGAUAGAGGAAGACUGUUCCUCAGUCAUGGGUAUAUGAGUAGCUGCGCUCCUCUGCUAGAUCCUACAAAGAAGCUCUCAAAACAUACUGAAUGUUUAAUCAAAAACAAUUAUUAUAAUAAAGUGCUCAUUGCCAGUAAGCUCCCU